AGGGGUAUAGCUCAGAAGUACAGCAAGUGCUUGGCAUGCAUGAGGUCCUGGGUUCAAUCUCCAGUGCCUCCG
RNAcentral lists this transfer RNA (72 nucleotides) under Camelus bactrianus (Bactrian camel). It matches the Rfam family "tRNA". Rfam says of the family: Transfer RNA (tRNA) molecules are approximately 80 nucleotides in length. Their secondary structure includes four short double-helical elements and three loops (D, anti-codon, and T loops). RNAcentral also lists the same sequence under 1 other name. Lineage: Eukaryota; Metazoa; Chordata; Mammalia; Artiodactyla; Camelidae. The record is from Rfam by way of RNAcentral.